This 224-nucleotide ribosomal RNA is filed under the name uncultured bacterium. RNAcentral's name for it is "partial 16S ribosomal RNA". It matches the Rfam family "Bacterial small subunit ribosomal RNA", at positions 524 to 745 of the family's 1533-position model. The record is from RNAcentral.
UACGUAGGGGGCGAGCGUUGUCCGGAAUUAUUGGGCGUAAAGAGCUCGUAGGCGGUUUGUCGCGUCUGCUGUGAAAACCUGAGGCUCAACCUCGGGCUUGCAGUGGGUACGGGCAGACUAGAGUGCGGUAGGGGUGACUGGAAUUCCUGGUGUAGCGGUGGAAUGCGCAGAUAUCAGGAGGAACACCGGUGGGCGAAGGCGGGGUCUCUGGGCAGUAACUGACG